Molecule: ribosomal RNA, 238 nt
Filed under: uncultured bacterium
Lineage: Bacteria
Description: partial 16S ribosomal RNA
Rfam family: Bacterial small subunit ribosomal RNA
Source: RNAcentral
AACGCGUGGGUAACCCACCUUCGAAUCUGGAAUAACUCCGCGAAAGCGGUGCUAAUACCGGAUAAGACCACAGCCGUUUCGGCGGCAGAGGUAAAAGCUGACCUCUCCAUGGAAGUUAGCGUUCGAGGACGGGCCCGCGUCCUAUCAGCUUGUUGGUGGGGCAAAGGCCUACCAAGGCAGCGGCGGGUAGCUGGUCUGAGAGGAUGAUCAGCCACACUGGAACUGGAACACGGUCCAG